This 515-nucleotide ribosomal RNA is filed under the name uncultured bacterium. RNAcentral's name for it is "partial 16S ribosomal RNA". It matches the Rfam family "Bacterial small subunit ribosomal RNA", at positions 28 to 523 of the family's 1533-position model. The record is from RNAcentral.
GAUGAACGCUGGCGGCGUGCCUAAUACAUGCAAGUCGAGCGAAUGGAUUAAGAGCUUGCUCUUAUGAAGUUAGCGGCGGACGGGUGAGUAACACGUGGGUAACCUGCCCAUAAGACUAGGAUAACUCCGGGAAACCGGGGCUAAUACCGGAUAACAUUUUGAACCGCAUGGUCCGAAAUUGAAAGGCGGCUUCGGCUGUCACUUAUGGAUGGACCCGCGUCGCAUUAGCUAGUUGGUGAGGUAACGGCUCACCAAGGCAACGAUGCGGAGCCGAACUGAGAGGGUGAUCGGCCACACUGGGACUGAGACACGGCCCAGACUCCUACGGGAGGCAGCAGUAGGGAAUCUUCCGCAAUGGACGAAAGUCUGACGGAGCAACGCCGCGUGAGUGAUGAAGGCUUUCGGGUCGUAAAACUCUGUUGUUAGGGAAGAACAAGUGCUAGUUGAAUAAGCUGGCACCUUGACGGUACCUAACCAGAAAGCCACGGCUAACUACGUGCCAGCCGCCGCAGUAA